Long non-coding RNA from Mangifera indica (mango), 874 nucleotides. RefSeq lists it as uncharacterized. Lineage: Eukaryota; Viridiplantae; Streptophyta; Magnoliopsida; Sapindales; Anacardiaceae. The record is from RefSeq and is a predicted model, not a curated record. The transcript has 4 exons.
AAUUCCUGCACCUGAGGCCAGCCCUUGUUGAAUGCAAGCCUUGUAUGCCACUUCAAUCUUGCUUUUAUAUUUUUCCAGUGCUAGCUUCUCCCCGGUAAAGGAUGCAACCUAGCACAGUUAAAAAGGAAUUAACAAUAGACUUCUGCGUAAGCAAUCUGUCCGUGACUAGCCAUUUUUGCCAUCAUUGCCGCCAUUGCUGCUCCAGAAAUGACAAUAGCAGGAAGACAUGAAAGCAGAACCUGUGCGAGAGCCCAUCCUCUCAUAAUGGCGAUUAUGUAUCCGCCGAGGAAAGCUGUGUGUCAAAGAAGGCAAUGUCUUGCCUUAAUAUUGUUUUCAAGUUUAAGCCUCGAAUCCUUGCAGCCCGCCUUUCAUCAGUCACCAUCCAACAUGACACCUCUGCAAUACACAAGUACAAAUCUGAACAAAUCCAUCACCAGUUAGAAACUCAGUUCAAGAGUAAAGAAGAGGGCCUUCUCAACGUACGCAGAAAGCCGGAAAUCCCUGAGCCAACAGCCAGCACUCAUCUGAAGUGGCCCUAAAGGUAGCUGUACUCCUCUUUCCCCUACAUUGGUAACAUAACCUUGUGCCAAUGUAGCUAUAAAAUUGUGUGCAUUUGAUGCCUUUGUUGCUGCAAUGAUCUCAUCUUCUGUAGUUUUACCGUGUUUGCCGUAGGCAAUGUUCUGGUGGAUGGUUUCAGGAGGAGUGCAACUUUCAGGAGGACAUAAGCCUUGUACAUAUAGAGAGGUGAAUUUAUGAAUUAAUGUAAAGCCAAAUAACUGUUUCCCACUAAAUUUUGGUGAAAUGACAUUUCUGCCUUCAAAGUUUCAAAAGUUUAAAUUCUCACCCAUAAUUUAUUUUGGAGUGAAUUUCGUUU